UUGUUGGACGGGCUUGCCUGUUCAGUAACGAAGCUUACGCGUGAAGUUGACCGCCUGGGGAGUACGGUCCGCAAGGUUGAAACUCAAAGGAACUUUGACGGGGACCCGCACAAGCGGUGGAUGAUGUGGUUUAAUUCGAUGCAACGCGAAAACCUUACCGUACCCUUGACAUGUCUAGAAGUUACCAGAGAUGGUUUCGUGCUCGAAAGAGAACUAGAACACAGGUGCUGCAUGGCCAGUCGUCAGCUCGUGUCGUGAGAUGUUGGGUUAAGUCCCGCAACGAGCAGCAACCCUUAUCAUUAGUUGCUACGCAAGGGCACUCUAAUGAGACUGCCGGUGACAAACCGGAGGAAGGUGGGGAUGACGUCAGGUCAUCAUGGCCCUUAUGGGUAGGGCUACACACGUCAUACAAUGGCCGGUACAGAGGGCUGCCAACCCGCGAGGGGGAGCUAAUCUCAGAAAACCGGUCGUAGUCCGGAUCGCAGUCGUGCAACUCGACUGCGUGAAGUCGGAAUCGCUAGUAAUCGACGGAUCAGCUUGCCGCGGUGAAUACGUUCCCGGGUUUGUACACACCGCCCGACACACCAUGGGAGCGGGUUCUGCCAGAAGUAGUUAGCCUAACCGCAAGGAGGGCGAUUACCACGGCAGGGUUCGUGACUGGGGUGAAGUCGUAACAAGGUAGCCGUAUCGGAAGUGCUGGCUGGAUCACUCUCACUU
Molecule: ribosomal RNA, 717 nt
Filed under: uncultured bacterium
Lineage: Bacteria
Description: bacterial SSU rRNA
Rfam family: Bacterial small subunit ribosomal RNA
Source: RNAcentral